RNAcentral lists this ribosomal RNA (731 nucleotides) under uncultured bacterium. Its description in RNAcentral is "bacterial SSU rRNA". It matches the Rfam family "Bacterial small subunit ribosomal RNA", at positions 134 to 851 of the family's 1533-position model. The record is from RNAcentral.
GAGACUGGGAUAACACCUGGAAACAGAUGCUAAUACCGGAUAACAACACUAGACGCAUGUCUAGAGUUUAAAAGAUGGUUCUGCUAUCACUCUUGGAUGGACCUGCGGUGCAUUAGCUAGUUGGUAAGGUAACGGCUUACCAAGGCAAUGAUGCAUAGCCGAGUUGAGAGACUGAUCGGCCACAUUGGGACUGAGACACGGCCCAAACUCCUACGGGAGGCAGCAGUAGGGAAUCUUCCACAAUGGACGCAAGUCUGAUGGAGCAACGCCGCGUGAGUGAAGAAGGGUUUCGGCUCGUAAAGCUCUGUUGGUAGUGAAGAAAGAUAGAGGUAGUAACUGGCCUUUAUUUGACGGUAAUUACCUAGAAAGUCACGGCUAACUACGUGCCAGCAGCCGCGGUAAUACGUAGGUGGCAAGCGUUGUCCGGAUUUAUUGGGCGUAAAGCGAGUGCAGGCGGUUCAAUAAGUCUGAUGUGAAAGCCUUCGGCUCAACCGGAGAAUUGCAUCAGAAACUGUUGAACUUGAGUGCAGAAGAGGAGAGUGGAACUCCAUGUGUAGCGGUGGAAUGCGUAGAUAUAUGGAAGAACACCAGUGGCGAAGGCGGCUCUCUGGUCUGCAACUGACGCUGAGGCUCGAAAGCAUGGGUAGCGAACAGGAUUAGAUACCCUGGUAGUCCAUGCCGUAAACGAUGAGUGCUAAGUGUUGGGAGGUUUCCGCCUCUCGGUGCUGCAG